CCCACCCCUUUUGUUAUGUUAGUACGGGCCUAGCAUGAAAUGGCACAAGGGCAUACUCAAUCAUGCCAUCGGCCAAUCAGCAUAGACCCCAGCAUUGGCACCGCGAUCCUUGCUUGAAACUUUGCACAAUAAGGUGAAAAAAUGGAUCUAUGCUGAUUACUCCCUUAACAUCUUUCAAUUUCAUAAAAAAAAAUUGGCUUAGCCUAUAGUUUAGGUAAUAGCAAGGAUUGAAACACCAGGUAUGCCAACACUAUGUUAGAAAUAAUGCAUCAUAUAGACCCAAACCGAUUUAGAGGGAUUAAUUGGGGGU
Molecule: long non-coding RNA, 310 nt
Filed under: Elaeis guineensis (African oil palm)
Lineage: Eukaryota; Viridiplantae; Streptophyta; Magnoliopsida; Arecales; Arecaceae
Description: long non-coding RNA (EGUI_LNC066288)
Source: RNAcentral